AUGGAGGGAGGAGUGAUCUCGGUGCCGGCGCCGGCGCCGGUUUGUUGCCUCGCCAACAGGGAGUUCCAGGCCACCCCCACCCCCAGCCCGCCCGACGAGUCGACGGUCCUCCGCGAGCUCAACGUCUCCGUCUCCCUCUCCGGUCUGGACAUUUCCCGCGGCCACCACGGCGAGCCGGACGUCCUGGGCCAGAGACGCAGCAAGUACAAGCCCAUGGUCCGGACAGUCUCCAAGAUGCACAUGGCGGCCAAGGCGGAGAAGAAGGCGGCGGCCGACAAGGCCAAGGCGGAGAAGAAGAAGGCGGACGACAAGGCCAAGGCGGAGAAGGCGGCGGCGCCGCCUGCAUCCCCCGAGUGGUUGAGGUUGUACCUUGACGAGGGGUAUGGGAUCAAGAAGCAGGUGACGGUGAAGAUAGACCAUCGGAACAGCUACAUAAGUGGCUGCUCGAGUGGGACAAGAAGCCUCGCGAUCCCCUGCCCAACUUCCCGGAGGAGCUUCGCGAGGCCAUGGACGCCAUCAAGGCCGAGCGCGACGAGAACGAGAGGGUCCUCGUCGACUUCAAGCGCGACGGCUAUGCCUACGUCCAGGUCGACGUCUUCAACGACGACAACCCAAGGGCCAACCUCCCCGCCGACCAGUACGAGGUCAUCCCCCACGACAGCGACGAAGAAGCUUGAUCUACUGAGCAACAUCUAUCUAUCUAUCUAUCUAUCUAUCUAUCUAUCUAAUGUCUGCUAUGGAUUAGUGUAUGAUUCCUCCUGGCGAUGUACUGCGUCCUAA
Molecule: ribosomal RNA, 780 nt
Filed under: Triticum aestivum (bread wheat)
Lineage: Eukaryota; Viridiplantae; Streptophyta; Magnoliopsida; Poales; Poaceae
Description: partial small subunit ribosomal RNA
Source: RNAcentral